This 1539-nucleotide ribosomal RNA is filed under the name metagenome. RNAcentral describes it as "bacterial SSU rRNA". It matches the Rfam family "Bacterial small subunit ribosomal RNA". The record is from RNAcentral.
AGAGUUUGAUUUUGGUUUAGAACGAACGCUGGCGGCGUGGAUUAGGCAUGCAAGUCGAACGUGAAACCAUCGAGUUUAAUUUUUGGAUGAAAAUAUGGUGGUGGAAAGUGGUGUAAGGGUGAGUAAUACGUGGGCAACGUAUCUUCAUGCUGGGAAUAACUCCUCGAAAGGGGAGCUAAUACCGAAUGUGGUCACGCAUUGUAUGAUGUGUGGCUAAAGGCGGGGAUUUUUGGAUUUGCCGCAUGGAGAUCGGCCCGCGCCCUAUUAGUUUGUUGGUGAGGUAAUGGCUCACCAAGGUGAUGAUGGGUAGUUGACCUGAGAGGGUGACCGGCCACACUGGGAUUGAGAUAUUGUUUAGAUUCCUACGGGAGGCUGCAGUCGAGAAUCGUUCGCAAUGGGCGAAAGCCUGAUGAUGCAACGCCGCGUGUGUGAAGAAGGCCUUCGGGUUGUAAAACACUUUGGGCAGGGAAGAAUGUAUGUCCAUUAAUAGUGGAUCAUGUUUGAUGGUACCUGCAGAACAAGCCCCGGUUAAAUUUGUGUUAGUAGUUGUGGUAAUAUGAAUGGGGCAAGCGUUGUUCGGAUUUAUUGGGUGUAAAGGGGGUCUAGGUGGUAUGUUAAGUCUUUUGUGAAAACCCGGAGUUUAACUCCGAGGAUUGCAGGGGAUACUGACAUAUUUGAGAGUGUGAGGCGCGUGUGGAAUACUGGGUGUAGUGGUGAAAUGUGUAGAUAUCCAGUAGAAUAUUAGUGGUGAAAGUGGUUCGCGUGCACACAUCUGACACUGAAGCCCGAAAGCGUGGGGAGUGAAUAGGAUUAGAUAUCCUGGUAGUCCACGCUGUAAACGAUGUGUACUAGAUGUAGGAGGUAUCGACCUUUUUUGUGUCGUAGCUAACGCGUUAAGUACACCGCCUGGGGAGUACUAUCGCAAGGUAGAAACUCAAAGGAAUUGACGGGGGCCCGCACAAGCGGUGGAGCAUGUUCAUUAAUAUGAAGCAAUGUGUAGAAUUUUACCAGGGCUUGACAUGUAGCUGCAAAUCCAGUGAAAGCUGGACUUCUUCGAGAGUGCUACACAGGUGUUGCAUGGCUGUCGUCAGCUCGUGCCGUGAGGUGUUGGGUUAAGUCCCGCAACGAGCGCAACCCUUGUCGUUAGUUGCCAGCGGUUCGGCCGGGCACUCUAGCGAGACUGCCGGUGAUAAACCGGAGGAAGGUGGGGAUGACGUCAAGUCAGUACGGCCCUUACGCCCUGGGCUUGAAACGUGCUACAAUGGUCGGUACAAUGGGUCGCCAACCCGCGAGGGGGAGCUAAUUUUAAAAAGCCGGCCUCAGUUCGGAUUGGAGUCUGCAAUUCGACUCCAUGAAGUUGGAAUCGCUAGUAAUGGCGCAUCAGCAAUGGCGCCGUGAAUACGUUCCCGGGUCUUGUAUAUAUUGCCCGUCACAUCAUGAAAGUUGGUUACACCCGAAGUCGAUGAUCCAAUCUCCGGUUUGCCGGAGAAGGAAGUUGUCGAAGGUGUGACUGGUAAUUGGGAUGAAGUUGAAAUAAGG